RNAcentral lists this long non-coding RNA (351 nucleotides) under Strongylocentrotus purpuratus (purple sea urchin). RNAcentral describes it as "uncharacterized LOC115927114". The record is from RNAcentral. Lineage: Eukaryota; Metazoa; Echinodermata; Echinoidea; Camarodonta; Strongylocentrotidae.
AGGAAUCUGCCUGACAUAGCAGAUACGUAGGUACACAUUGUAUCUUGUCAUGGGCGAAGGAGGUUAUGCGUGUGUCGGGCCGUCUAUUUAGCGUGCAGCGCCCUUGUUUCUUUUUACACCUUUGAAAGAAAUGACAUGCUAGCGAGGUUUGCUGGAAGCUGUCAUGGUGUGGUCUAGCUGGGACUGUGUUGUCUUUUGGGAGCCGGGAGCUGCUCCGGCUUGUAUCUUCAGAGACCUUGGGGUUUUCUUUUACCGCUGAUAUAUGCUGAUGAUCUACAAAUAAAUGGGCUCAUCACCCAACCUACCAUCAAGCUGCUCUCAAGUUCUUUAUUGCUGUCUUAUCCGUAUUAC